RNAcentral lists this ribosomal RNA (691 nucleotides) under uncultured Microbacteriaceae bacterium. Its description in RNAcentral is "bacterial SSU rRNA". It matches the Rfam family "Bacterial small subunit ribosomal RNA", at positions 97 to 803 of the family's 1533-position model. The record is from RNAcentral. Lineage: Bacteria; Bacillati; Actinomycetota; Actinomycetes; Micrococcales; Microbacteriaceae.
GGCGAACGGGUGAGUAACACGUGAGCAAUCUGCCCUUGACUCUGGGAUAACUGCGGGAAACUGUAGCUAAUACCGGAUAUGAGGCUUGGAGGCAUCUCCAGGUCUGGAAAGAAUUUCGGUCAAGGAUGAGCUCGCGGCCUAUCAGCUAGUUGGUGAGGUAAUGGCUCACCAAGGCGACGACGGGUAGCCGGCCUGAGAGGGUGACCGGCCACACUGGGACUGAGACACGGCCCAGACUCCUACGGGAGGCAGCAGUGGGGAAUAUUGCACAAUGGGCGAAAGCCUGAUGCAGCAACGCCGCGUGAGGGAUGAAGGCCUUCGGGUUGUAAACCUCUUUUAGCAGGGAAGAAGCGAAAGUGACGGUACCUGCAGAAAAAGCACCGGCUAACUACGUGCCAGCAGCCGCGGUAAUACGUAGGGUGCAAGCGUUGUCCGGAAUUAUUGGGCGUAAAGAGCUCGUAGGCGGUUUGUCGCGUCUGCUGUGAAAAUCCGAGGCUCAACCUCGGACUUGCAGUGGGUACGGGCAGACUAGAGUGCAGUAGGGGAGAAGGGAAUUCCUGGUGUAGCGGUGGAAUGCGCAGAUAUCAGGAGGAACACCGAUGGCGAAGGCACUUCUCUGGGCUGUAACUGACGCUGAGGAGCGAAAGCGUGGGGAGCGAACAGGAUUAGAUACCCUGGUAGUCCACGCCGU